RNAcentral lists this long non-coding RNA (332 nucleotides) under Nicotiana benthamiana. Its description in RNAcentral is "long non-coding RNA (NBEN_LNC008714)". The record is from RNAcentral. Lineage: Eukaryota; Viridiplantae; Streptophyta; Magnoliopsida; Solanales; Solanaceae.
AAGGGAAGUGCAGAUCUUUAUCUUUCUGCGACACUCUUCCGACUUGAUGCCGCCCCUGAAUCCACAAGUACCGGCUUGAUUACCCCCUAAGAUAAGAGGAGGAUAUAGAAGCAGAUUUAGUUGCAGGUAGGAGCGAGUCUACCCUGCAAAGCGGCUUCUCGCUUAUCCCCAUUUGAAAAUGAGGAGAUCCGACCUACCCCCUAAGAUAGAGGAGGAUAUAGAAGUAGAUUUAGUUGCAGGUAGGAGCGAGUCUACCCUGCAAAGCGGCUUCUCUCUUAUCCCCAUUUGAAAAUGAGGAGAUCUGACGUCAAGUGCAGGAAUUGCUGUCAAAG